RNAcentral lists this ribosomal RNA (775 nucleotides) under uncultured Neocallimastigales. RNAcentral describes it as "partial large subunit ribosomal RNA". It matches the Rfam family "Eukaryotic large subunit ribosomal RNA", at positions 23 to 646 of the family's 3401-position model. The record is from RNAcentral. Lineage: Eukaryota; Fungi; Neocallimastigomycota; Neocallimastigomycetes; Neocallimastigales.
AGAGAGAGACAUGCGCGCAUAUCAAUAAGCGGAGGAAAAGAAACUAACUAGGAUUCCCUCAGUAACGGCGAGUGAAGCGGGAAGAGCUCAAAUUUGAAAUCUUCAAGGUUCUACCUUGACGAAUUGUAGUUUAAAGAAGUGUUUUCUGUUGGAGUUUUGGUAAAAGUUCUUUGGAAUAGGACAUCAUAGAGGGUGAGAAUCCCGUAUUUGACCAUUAUUUCCAGCUUUGUGAUACACUUUCAAAGAGUCGGAUUGUUUGGGAAUGCAGUCCAAAAUGGGUGGUAAAUUUCAUCUAAAGCUAAAUACUGGCGAGAGACCGAUAGCGAACAAGUACCGUGAGGGAAAGAUGAAAAGAACUUUGAAAAGAGAGUUAAACAGUACGUGAAAUUGUCAAAAGGGGAAGCGUUUGACACCAGUGUUGUUUUUCUGAAAAUCAAUUAAAGAACUGUUUAUGCUAAGUUGUUUAGACUUUAUCAGCUAUCUGUUUAGUUUUGAGCUUUUCUUUAAUGCACUUUUCAGUUAACAGGUCAACAUCAAUUUCUUUUGCUGUAAAAAAGCUUGAGGAAGGUGGCUUGAGAUUCGUCUUAAGUGUUUAUAGCCUCUUGCCUAUGCAGUCGGAGAGAUUGAGGUCUGCAGCGUAGAUCCUUCGGGGCUAAAUGCAUUUGUGCUAAGUUAUAGCAUUUUAUAGACAACUUGUUGACUAUGAUUUGUCUUGUAGCUUACUCGCUUAUGUUAUUUUACCUACGCUUAGGAUGUUGAUGUGAUACUGCGAGCA